AGGUUAAAACUCAAAUGAAUUGACGGGGGCCCGCACAAGCGGUGGAGCAUGUGGUUUAAUUCGAUGCAACGCGAAGAACCUUACCUGGUCUUGACAUCCACAGAACUUUCCAGAGAUGGAUUGGUGCCUUCGGGAACUGUGAGACAGGUGCUGCAUGGCUGUCGUCAGCUCGUGUUGUGAAAUGUUGGGUUAAGUCCCGCAACGAGCGCAACCCUUAUCCUUUGUUGCCAGCGGUUCGGCCGGGAACUCAAAGGAGACUGCCAGUGAUAAACUGGAGGAAGGUGGGGAUGACGUCAAGUCAUCAUGGCCCU
Molecule: ribosomal RNA, 311 nt
Filed under: Pseudomonas aeruginosa
Lineage: Bacteria; Pseudomonadati; Pseudomonadota; Gammaproteobacteria; Pseudomonadales; Pseudomonadaceae
Description: bacterial SSU rRNA
Rfam family: Bacterial small subunit ribosomal RNA
Source: RNAcentral